This 253-nucleotide ribosomal RNA is filed under the name uncultured bacterium. RNAcentral's name for it is "partial 16S ribosomal RNA". It matches the Rfam family "Bacterial small subunit ribosomal RNA", at positions 524 to 776 of the family's 1533-position model. The record is from RNAcentral.
UACGUAGGGGGCUAGCGUUGUCCGGAUUUAUUGGGCGUAAAGAGCGUGUAGGCGGCCAGGUAGGUCCGUUGUGAAAACUCGAGGCUCAACCUCGAGACGUCGGCGGAAACCCUCUGGCUAGAGUCCGGAAGAGGAGAGUGGAAUUCCUGGUGUAGCGGUGAAAUGCGCAGAUAUCAGGAAGAACACCCGUGGCGAAGGCGGUUCUCUGGGACGGUACUGACGCUGAGACGCGAAAGCGUGGGGAGCGAACAGG